AUUACUAAAUAAACUCCGAAACAGUCCCUCUGCACACAACUAUGCUGCUCUUGCCAAAGUCACACUGUCCCAAGUCAUCCUGUUCAAUAGACGAAGAGAAGGUGAGGUGUCACGGAUGCUUUUAUCAGCUUUUCAAAGCCGGGAUUCUUCUGAGCUACAUGAAGACAUAGCCAUCUGUCUUUCUGAAUUUGAGAGGAAGUUGUGUAAGCACUUCACCAGAGUGGAGAUUCGUGGUAAACGGGGGAGAAAGGUUCCUGUGCUCCUCAAGCCUUCAUUGGUUUCUGCCAUGGAGCUGCUUGUUGAAACACGUGAGGUUUGUGGCGUGCCAGCUGAGAAUCCCUUCAUGUUUGCUAGAUCUGGAGCAAUAUCUGCCUACAGAGGAGGAGAGUGCAUAAGGAGAGCUGCUCGUGAAUGUGGCAUUAAGAAUCCUGAAGCACUCUCAUCAACUAGGCUCAGGAAACACAUAGCAACAAUGUCAAAAAUUCUUAACCUUGAUGAGAAUGAAGCAGAUCAGCUGGCUGAUUUCCUCGGCCACGAUAUCAGAAUACACAGACAGUAUUACCGGUUACCAGAGGGCACUUUGCAGCUCGCAAAGAUGAGCAAAGUCUUGAUGGCAAUGGAAAAAGGGACACUGUCAUCCUUUAAAGGAAAGCGCCUUGAUGACAUUGAAAUCGACCCUAAUGAGCAACUUGAGGCACAAGACGAUGCCAUGUCAAGUGAUGAGGAGGAUGCAGACGAAGAGAGCUGCAGUGACUUCCCUCAGAC
Molecule: long non-coding RNA, 765 nt
Organism: Cyprinus carpio carpio
Lineage: Eukaryota; Metazoa; Chordata; Actinopteri; Cypriniformes; Cyprinidae
Source: Ensembl